RNAcentral lists this microRNA (23 nucleotides) under Equus caballus (horse). RNAcentral's name for it is "eca-miR-8945 (MIR8945)". Lineage: Eukaryota; Metazoa; Chordata; Mammalia; Perissodactyla; Equidae. The record is from RNAcentral.
CUCAACGGAUACGGGCUCUUGAA